AGUCAUAUGCUUGUCUCAAAGAUUAAGCCAUGCAUGUCUCAGUACAAACUAAAUUAAAGUGAAACCGCGAAAGGCUCAUUAAAUCAGUUAUGGUUCCUUAGAUCGUACCCACAUUACUUGGAUAACUGUGGUAAUUCUAGAGCUAAUACAUGCAAACAGAGCUCCGACCGGAGACGGAAGGAGUGCUUUUAUUAGAUUAAAAUCAAUCGGCGGCAGUAUAGUUUCGGCUAUACUGUUCGUCGAACUAUUUGAUGACUCUGAAUAACUUUUAGCUGAUCGCACGGUCUUGCACCGGCGACGCAUCUUUCAAAUGUCUGCCUUAUCAACUGUCGAUGGUAGGAUCUGCGCCUACCAUGGUUGUAACGGGUAACGGGGAAUCGGGGUUCGAUUCCGGAGAGAGAGCUUGAGAAACGGCUACCACAUCCAAGGAAGGCAGCAGGCGCGCAAAUUACCCACUCCCAGAACGGGGAGGUAGUGACGAAAAAUAACGAUACGGGACUCAUCCGAGGCCCCGUAAUCGGAAUGAGUACACUUUAAAUCCUUUAACAAGGACCAAUUGGAGGGAAUGUCUGGUGCCAGCAGCCGCGGUAA
This 591-nucleotide ribosomal RNA is filed under the name Iberotrechodes spinosus. RNAcentral's name for it is "SSU rRNA". It matches the Rfam family "Eukaryotic small subunit ribosomal RNA", at positions 22 to 582 of the family's 1831-position model. Lineage: Eukaryota; Metazoa; Arthropoda; Insecta; Coleoptera; Carabidae. The record is from RNAcentral.